This is a non-coding RNA of Paramuricea clavata, 524 nucleotides long. Lineage: Eukaryota; Metazoa; Cnidaria; Anthozoa; Malacalcyonacea; Plexauridae. The record is from the annotation of a GenBank genome assembly.
CUCAUUGGCAGGUGACGUCAUCCCUUGGGUAUUUAAGAAGCGACAAUUGCAACUUUAGAUCACCCCUGAUGAAGACACUACACUGGAGUGUCAAAACGUUGGGUCUUGAUUACAAUUCAACUAGACUUUGUAAUAAUUUAUUUAAACCAGAGUGAGCGAAACAUGUUCUCAGUUAGUUAUAUGAAACACAUGUUAACUGUACAAUUUCCAUUUGAAAUGUCCAUCUACAAAAACCCAUGAUCAGUCUGCUAUUAUUGCCUUACUAGAGUAGGCUGUUGAUUGUCUCCUAUAUUUAAUAUUGGCUAUUUGCAUCAUCCUGCAAUCCACAUGCAGCCAUGAUAUCAUCAAUCAAACUUUGAACUUAGAACUGUAUUCAAAGAAUGUUAUCGAGCGUAAGAAUAUAUCAUUAUAUGCUAAAGCAAAUCGUAUUUCCUCUUACAAUACUGUAUACCUUGUAUAUAGAAGGAAAAUAAAUUAUUUUGACUUAAAAAUGUCUUUAUUGAUUUCUUAGGUUAAUCAAUCAG